GACUAACUGCUCUUAUGUCAGGAAGGUUUAUAAUUGUAUAUGGGGAAGUGACUCUAAACUGUGAAUUUUCUUUAUAAGAAAUAUUAAUAUAGCGGAAUUUAUUUCUCUGCAAUCUUGAGAAUUAGGUUUCAGGGACUAUAUACCAGUCCUUUUGGGAAUAGAUAUGAGAGGCAGCGUAGCUGGUACAGAAACAGUAGAGGUUUGGCAGUGAAUUCUUAUGGGAGGAAAAGAUACAAGGGAAGGCAAACUUUGGGCUUAACGUAUAGUUAUCAAGGACAGGAAAUAGAUGGCAUAUCUUUUGGUCUGAGGUUAUUGUGUAAAGAGCUAGUGUCAUGUAACCGUUUGUAUUAAGGAUAGGUUGGGGAACGUAUUGCAGUGGGGUUCCGUCAUGGGCACAUUUAACUUAUGUGAAUUCAACUGUAUAUAAUAGGC
RNAcentral lists this long non-coding RNA (432 nucleotides) under Bos taurus (domestic cattle). RNAcentral's name for it is "long non-coding RNA NONBTAT025568". Lineage: Eukaryota; Metazoa; Chordata; Mammalia; Artiodactyla; Bovidae. The record is from RNAcentral.